GGAGCAAGAGAUGGAACUCAGCUCUGAAUAAAGCAGGGAUAAAUGGAGAUUUAUAGCCAAGGAGCAGGGUGUGGAGGUCAGGAGAUAUAAAAUCACUAAGAGAAGGCAUCAACAGUAGCAGGGUUCUUGCAAAACUGACCUAAUAGGAUUCUUCUUCAGGGUAUACCAGGACUUAGACAUUAAAAGUUGGGACUAAGGAACUUGACCAAGUAUCAAGUGUGAUCAGAUAUUAACAGUUGGGUGAUUUUUUUUUUUUUUUAAGAUUUUAUUUACUUAUUUGACAGAGAUCACAAGUAGGCAGAAAGUCAGGCAGAGAGAGGGAAAGUAAGCAGGCUCCUGUUGAGCAAAGAGCCCAAUGCGGGGCUGGAUCCCAGGACCCUGAGAUCAUAACCUGAGCCAAAGGCAGAGGCUUAAUCCACUGAGCCAACCAGGCGCCCCAACAAUUGGGGGAUUCUUGCUAAGGCUGGGCUGUGGAGGCCCAGCAAGGACAGAAAAGACACAAAAGGCCAAGGUCAAAGCCUUCUUAAGAACAGAGUGUAGCAGGGCACCUGGGUGGCUCAGCGGGUUGGGGCCUCUGCCUUCAGCUCUGGUUGUGAUCCCGGGGUGCUGGGAUCGAGCCCCCUGUCGGGCUCUCUGCUCAGCGGGGAGCCUGCUUCCACCCCUCUCUUUCUCUGCCUGCCUCUCUGCCUAAUUGUGGUCUCUGCCUGUCAAAUAAAUAACUAAAAAAAAAAAAAAAGAAUAGAGUGUAGGGGCACCUGGGUGGCUCAGUGGGUUAAAGCCUCUGCCUUCAGCUCAGGUCCUGAUCUCAGGGUCCUGGGAUCGAGCCCCGCAUCUGGCUCUCUGCUCAGUGGGGAGCCUGCUUCCCUUCCUCUCUCUCUGCCUGCCUCUCUGCCUACUUGUGAUCUCUGUCAAAUAAAUAAAUAAAAUCUUUAAAAAAUUUUAAAAAGGAACAGAGUUUAGAGGAAGCUUACUAAAAUUUGGUUUAAAAUUUGGUUAAGGAGAGAGUCUUCGUCACGAUCUACUGUUGCUAAUGACAAACUUCAUCCUAAGUAUCUAUUGUAUUUUAGGUUGUUAACUCAUGAUAGAACAUUUAUAUAAACUUAUCCUAAUAUACAAAAAAUCUUUGAGUUUAUUUUAGUAUUGUGGUAUUUGAAUACCUGUUAUGUUUCACUUGUUUAAGUGUUUGUCUAUUAGAAUUCCCUUACUCUGGGAUGUGGUGUAUUCCAGUUUUGGGUUUUAGUAAAGUCAUUCUAGGUUAUUAUUACAAAAAACAGAAAUGUCAAUAGCCUCCUAAGCCACAAUUUAAAAUAAUGUACUUUGGAUUAUCCUUUCGUUGGUCGCGUGGCUAAAUGUAACCAAAAAAUGCUUGGCUUUUGUAUAGCAUUCAGCACAAGUAUUUUUAUAGGAUGGUUAUUCCUAAGAUUUUUGCUACAACUGUUAUUAGUGGACUAUAUUAAGUAGAUAGUAUUUAGAAUUUUAAGGGAUAAAACACAACUUAGAAGACAUUUUUUUCUGUUUUUGCUAUUGUGAUUACUUUCUAUUUUAUUUUUUUUUUCUUUUAGUUCUUUUAUUCCCUUUAUUAAGGGCUGAGGAAAAAGAUAGUAUGGAAUAACUUUUUUGGGUUGAAUUGUUAUAGAAAACUACAUGUGCCAAGUUUGGGAUUUGAUAAUGUUUGAGAAGAUAAGGGAGAUCAUUUACUGUUUAUAUAUGGAUUUUCUGAAGUUUUUUAUUUUUGGCACAUGGUUUGAAAAAUCCUGUUUCUUUAGGGUGAACUAAAGAAGACAAAUGAGGCUUUUUUUUUUUUUUUUUUUUUGAAUAGCUACUUAGGUGAUAAUAAGAAAUUGCUAAUCAUGAAGACAGAAUGGAUGGGUUAGUAUAUUUUUAUAAGCUGUAAGGUAAUACAUAAGUAAAAUAUGUUUAUGGUCAGAGUGUCCAUAAAUGCCCUCCACUGUCGGAAGCCAUUGGCGUUUGUUGGCUUUUAAGGCAUGGCAAGUCUCUCUUGAUACCUCUCUUCUACUAGUCCAGGAAACUGGUAUCAAAACAGUGUGUUGCUCCACUUGCAUGUUAACAUUGGUGCUGUGGCUUCCUUUUUCCAGAUUCACCCCAAGAGACGCAAGACAACAAGGUUUACUAGGAGAAACCAUGAAGAGAGAACACAAGCAAGGGGAGUGGGAGAGGGAAAAGCAGGCUUCCCAGGAAGCCUGAUGUGGGGCUCCAUCCCAGGACCUGGGAUCAUGACCCUAGCCAAAGACAGUAUGAUUAUAUCUCAGGUCCUCACUAGCAUCUUUGUCAACUUGUAUUUUCAAAACUGACUCUUUCCUACUUGGAAUUUCCCCAUUGGUGAGCAAACUAAGGUAGGUUUUCAAAUGGCCUAAUAAUAAUAACAGUAAUAAUAAUAAUUAACACCUCUCCUAUCUGUUUAGCCAAAGUGAAGUAUCAAAAGUAAUAGAUCCAUUUAUUCUAUAGUUCAAUCUAUACCUUUAUAUUCUUUAUAGUUCUAGUCUCCAUAUCUACAUCCUUCCUUCUUGUUCAGGCAUUAAAAGAAGAAUAUGAUCCCUGAGGUCUUUCACAAAUGCACAUGGUCCUCUCUGUUUGGUGUUAUCUUUUAUUUGCCACUGGGGUCUGUUCCUCUUUGAGGCUACUAAAGUGUGCCUCACCUCAGGGUGCAUCACAGUUUUGUGUCAGGAUUUCUCAGGCUGGUGGCUGUUGCUCUUAGCCCUGGGGAAUUGUGUCCCUUAAUACUUUGCUGCUGUGAACUCAGGAGUCUCAUGCCACUCUUCCCUGAACACGGGAUAGUUUUAUAACUCCGUAAUGGAAUACCAUUUUGCAGUAAAAAGGAACAAGAUAUCCAUCUAUGCUACACCACUGAUGAAUCUUAAAACACUAUUUUAUGGAGGUGUUCAUGUAGUUUUCACUAUUAGGAGAGUUCUCUUCACAUGUAAAAAAGUUCUUAACCACAGUUUCUUAGUUCUGCUGGACACCCCACCGCCAGUCUUUCCAACUAACACCUUUGUUUACAUCAUGGUUUUAAGAUGCUGAGUAUUUGUGCAGAGGAAGUUAAAGAUGUUGUGUGACUAGUUUUGUUUAUUUUAU
Mustela lutreola (European mink) is the source of this 3093-nucleotide long non-coding RNA. RefSeq lists it as uncharacterized. The transcript is spliced from 3 exons. Lineage: Eukaryota; Metazoa; Chordata; Mammalia; Carnivora; Mustelidae. The record is from RefSeq and is a predicted model, not a curated record.